RNAcentral lists this ribosomal RNA (468 nucleotides) under uncultured bacterium. RNAcentral describes it as "partial 16S ribosomal RNA". It matches the Rfam family "Bacterial small subunit ribosomal RNA", at positions 28 to 507 of the family's 1533-position model. The record is from RNAcentral.
GACGAACGCUGGCGGCGUGCUUAACACAUGCAAGUCGAACGGAAAGGCCCUGCUUUUGUGGGGUGCUCGAGUGGCGAACGGGUGAGUAACACGUGAGUAACCUGCCCUUGACUUUGGGAUAACUUCAGGAAACUGGGGCUAAUACCGGAUAGGAGCUCCUGCUGCCUGGUGGGGGUUGGAAAGUUUCGGCGGUUGGGGAUGGACUCGCGGCUUAUAAGCUUGUUGGUGGGGUAGUGGCUUACCAAGGCUUUGACGGGUAGCCGGCCUGAGAGGGUGACCGGCCACAUUGGGACUGAGAUACGGCCCAGACGCCUACGGGAGGCAGCAGUGGGGAAUAUUGCACAAUGGGCGGAAGCCGGAUGCAGCAACGCCGCGUGCGGGAUGACGGCCUUCGGGUUGUAAACCGCUUUCGCCUGUGACGAAGCGUGAGUGACGGUAAUGGGUAAAGAAGCACCGGCUAACUACGUG